This 1330-nucleotide ribosomal RNA is filed under the name metagenome. Its description in RNAcentral is "bacterial LSU rRNA". It matches the Rfam family "Bacterial large subunit ribosomal RNA", at positions 1601 to 2925 of the family's 2925-position model. The record is from RNAcentral.
UACGCUUCCAGGAAAAGCUCCUAAGCUUCAGCUUACGUAGACCGUACCGUAAACCGACACAGGUGGGCAGGAUGAGAAUUCUAAGGCGCUUGAGAGAACUCGGGUGAAGGAACUAGGCAAAAUAGCACCGUAACUUCGGGAGAAGGUGCGCCCUCCACGGUUAAUAGCUGAGGGGGGCCGCAGUGACCAGGCCGCUGCGACUGUUUAUCAAAAACACAGCACUCUGCGAACACGAAAGUGGACGUAUAGGGUGUGACGCCUGCCCGGUGCAGGAAGGUUAAUUGAUGGGGUCAGCCGCAAGGCGAAGCUCUUGAUCGAAGCCCCAGUAAACGGCGGCCGUAACGAUAACGGUCCUAAGGUAGCGAAAUUCCUUGUCGGGUAAGUUCCGACCUGCACGAAUGGCGUAACGACAGCGGCCCUGUCUCCACCCGAGACUCAGUGAAAUUGAAAUCGCUGUGAAGAUGCAGCGUUCCCGCGGCAAGACGGAAAGACCCCGUGAACCUUUACUAUAGCUUUACACUGAACGUUGAGUUCGUCUGUGUAGGAUAGGUGGGAGGCUAUGAAACCAUGGCGCUAGCUGUGGUGGAGCCAUCCUUGAAAUACCACCCUGUCGUGCUUGACGUUCUAACCUAGGCCCGUUAUCCGGGUCAGGGACCGUGUAUGGUGGGUAGUUUGACUGGGGCGGUCUCCUCCCAAAGUGUAACGGAGGAGCACGAAGGUACGCUCAGCGCGGUCGGACAUCGCGCACUGUGUGCAAAGGCAUAAGCGUGCUUGACUGCAAGAUCGACGGAUCGAGCAGGUACGAAAGUAGGUCUUAGUGAUCCGGUGGCUCUGUAUGGAAGGGCCAUCGCUCAACGGAUAAAAGGUACUCCGGGGAUAACAGGCUGAUACCGCCCAAGAGUUCAUAUCGACGGCGGUGUUUCGCACCUCGAUGUCGGCUCAUCACAUCCUGGGGCUGUAGUCGGUCCCAAGGGUAUGGCUGUUCGCCAUUUAAAGUGAUACGCGAGCUGGGUUCAGAACGUCGUGAGACAUUUCGGUCCCUAUCUGUCGUGGGCGUUGGAGAUUUGAGAGGGGCUGCUCCUAGUACGAGAGGACCGGAGUGGACGAACCUCUGGUGUUCCGGUUGUCACGCCAGUGGCACUGCCGGGUAGCUAUGUUCGGAAGCGAUAACCGCUGAAAGCAUCUAAGCGGGAAGCGCGCCUCAAGAUGAGAUCUCCCGGGACUUUAAGUCCCCUAAAGGAACCAUCAAGACUAGGUGGUUGAUAGGCAGGGUGUGUAAGUGCGGCAACGCAUUGAGCUAACCUGUACUAAUGAUCCGUGUGGCUUGACC